Long non-coding RNA from Gadus macrocephalus (Pacific cod), 604 nucleotides. RefSeq lists it as uncharacterized. The transcript is spliced from 2 exons. NCBI's taxonomy places the organism in Eukaryota, Metazoa, Chordata, Actinopteri, Gadiformes, Gadidae. The record is from RefSeq and is a predicted model, not a curated record.
UUCGUAACCACUAGGGCUGUCAAAAUUGCUCAAAAAUGACAUUCGAAUGUUCGUUUGGAAAAAAAUCACGAAUUCGAACUAUUCGAAUAUCUGAGGUGCGUUCAGAAUCGCAAACAUAGGCGAACGUUCGCGAACGAUUUUAAACAUUUUCCGUUAAACGAACAUAAGCAAGCAAACGUUUACGAACAUAGGCAAACUGUCUGAAGAGGUAGUUCUCCACAAACAGAGAUGGAUCGCGGUGCUCUCUUCGGCUACGUGACAUUCGUUGCCAUGGCAUUAAACUAAACUAUAUUGAAAUCAUUUACUCCUUUCCUACACAGAAAGCAAUAGAUAAAACGUUUCAUAUAGCCUAUCUACACCCUUACUUCAACUGUUGUCUUUUGCAUCCUAAAAUGCGAUUUGAACGUUAUAUCGCAGUAAGUGGGUACAACUUCGGUGACGUAGCCCUCUAUUCUUGAAUUUUCCGUACUGGUUGUCUGCAGUAGGCUUUCAACGAGGUCGACCACUUGCAAACCCUCUUCUGUAAACUCUUCCAUUAACAUGGAGGCUGCCGCUAAUACCAUGGCCUUCGUAUCCAUUUUUUUCGUUUACAGUUUGUUUAGAA